AACGAACGCUGGCGGCAUGCCUAACACAUGCAAGUCGAACGAGACCUUCGGGUCUAGUGGCGCACGGGUGCGUAACGCGUGGGAACCUGCCCUUAGGUUCGGAAUAACUCCCCGAAAGGGGUGCUAAUACCGGAUAAUGUCUUCGGACCAAAGAUUUAUCGCCUUUGGAUGGGCCCGCGUUGGAUUAGCUAGUUGGUAGGGUAAAAGCCUACCAAGGCGACGAUCCAUAGCUGGUCUGAGAGGAUGAUCAGCCACACUGGGACUGAGACACGGCCCAGACUCCUACGGGAGGCAGCAGUGGGGAAUAUUGGAAAAUGGGCGAAAGCAUGAUGCAGCAAUGCCGGGUGAGUGAUGAAGGCCUUAGGGUUGUAAAGCUCUUUUACCCGGGAGGAUAAUGACAGUACCGGGAGAAUAAGCUCCGGCUAACUCCGUG
This 433-nucleotide ribosomal RNA is filed under the name uncultured bacterium. Its description in RNAcentral is "partial 16S ribosomal RNA". It matches the Rfam family "Bacterial small subunit ribosomal RNA", at positions 29 to 507 of the family's 1533-position model. The record is from RNAcentral.